ACAGAAGCGUACACAUCAAUUGAUUAACCAUUACAUGUACAAUUUCUUGCUAAAUAAACACCCUCACAUAUACAAAAAAUAAUAGGGCCAUCACAGUUGUUGUACGCCUGCGCAGUAAUUGUAAUCUUGCAGGAACACACAUGUUUGUAAAAUAAGCACCCUCAGCCAAAAAAUAAAAGGGCCACCCAUCAGCUAACCCAGGUUAGUGAACUUGGGGAUUCUACAACAACACUAGUUGCUAUACAAAAUACCAACAAAUGGGGUGGCAUCACAAAAACAAUUGCCAAUCUUUUACCCUAACGUUGCUACA
Molecule: long non-coding RNA, 310 nt
Filed under: Citrus maxima (pomelo)
Lineage: Eukaryota; Viridiplantae; Streptophyta; Magnoliopsida; Sapindales; Rutaceae
Description: long non-coding RNA (CMAX_LNC000896)
Source: RNAcentral